UACGAAGGGUGCAAACGUUGCUCGGAAUUACUGGGCGUAAAGCGCACGUAGGCGGCUUGUUAAGUCAGGGGUGAAAUCCUGGAGCUCAACUCCAGAACUGCCUUUGAUACUGGCGAGCUUGAGUUCGGGAGAGGUGAGUGGAACUGCGAGUGUAGAGGUGAAAUUCGUAGAUAUUCGCAAGAACACCAGUGGCGAAGGCGGCUCACUGGCCCGAUACUGACGCUGAGGUGCGAAAGCGUGGGGAGCAAACAGG
This 253-nucleotide ribosomal RNA is filed under the name uncultured bacterium. RNAcentral describes it as "partial 16S ribosomal RNA". It matches the Rfam family "Bacterial small subunit ribosomal RNA", at positions 524 to 776 of the family's 1533-position model. The record is from RNAcentral.